This 424-nucleotide ribosomal RNA is filed under the name uncultured bacterium. Its description in RNAcentral is "bacterial SSU rRNA". It matches the Rfam family "Bacterial small subunit ribosomal RNA", at positions 354 to 794 of the family's 1533-position model. The record is from RNAcentral.
UGGAGGAAUCUUUGGCACAAUGGGGGAAACCCUGAUGCAGCAACGCCGCGUGAAGGAAGACGGCCCUUGGGUUGUAAACUUCUGUUCUAAGGGAAGAUAGUGACGGUACCUUAGGAGCAAGUCCCGGCUAACUACGUGCCAGCAGCCGCGGUAAUACGUAGGGGGCGAGCGUUAUCCGGAAUUAUUGAGCGUAAAGAGUACGUAGGUGGUUUCCUAAGCAUGGGGUUUAAGGCAACGGCUUAACCAUUGUUCGCCCCAUGAACUGGGUUACUUGAGUGCUGGAGGGGAAAGCGGAAUUCCUAGUGUAGCGGUGAAAUGCGUAGAUAUUAGGAGGAACACCGGUGGCGAAGGCGGCUUUCUGGACAGUAACUGACACUGAGGUACGAAAGUGUGGGGAGCAAACAGGAUUAGAUACCCUGGUAGU